Molecule: ribosomal RNA, 403 nt
Filed under: Verrucomicrobiota bacterium
Lineage: Bacteria; Pseudomonadati; Verrucomicrobiota
Description: Verrucomicrobia bacterium partial 16S ribosomal RNA
Rfam family: Bacterial small subunit ribosomal RNA
Source: RNAcentral
UGGGGAAUAUUGCGCAAUGGGGGCAACCCUGACGCAGCAACGCCGCGUGCGGGACGACGUCCUUCGGGUUGUAAACCGCUUUCAGCAGGGAAGAUAGUGACGGUACCUGCACAAGAAGCCCCGUCUAACUACGUGCCAGCAGCCGCGGUAAUACGUAGGGGGCGAGCGUAAUCCGGAUUCAUUGGGCGUAAAGCGCGCGCAGGCGGCUCUUCAAGCGGAACCUCUAACCCCGGGGCUCAACCUCGGGCCGGGUUCCGAACUGGAGGGCUCGAGUGCGGUAGAGGCAGGGGGGAUUCCCGGUGGAGCGGUGGAAUGCGGAGGUAGCGGGAAGAACACCGAUGGCGAAGGAAGCCUGGUGGGCCGGCAAUGACGCUGAGGCGCGAAAGCUAGGGGAGCGAACAGG